ACAGCCGCAGAAACCAGGCCGCUGCAACUGUUUAUUAAAAACAUAGCACUCUGCAAACACGAAAGUGGACGUAUAGGGUGUGAUGCCUGCCCGGUGCUGGAAGGUUAAUUGAUGGGGUUAGCGUAAGCGAAGCUCUUGAUCGAAGCCCCAGUAAACGGCGGCCGUAACUAUAACGGUCCUAAGGUAGCGAAAUUCCUUGUCGGGUAAGUUCCGACCUGCACGAAUGGCAUAAUGAUGGCGGCGCUGUCUCCAGCAGAGGCUCAGUGAAAUCGAAAUCGCUGUGAAGAUGCAGUGUACCCGCGGCUAGACGGAAAGACCCCGUGAACCUUUACUGCAGCUUGACACUGAACUUUGACCUUACUUGUGUAGGAUAGGUGGGAGGCUUUGAAGCUGGAACGCUAGUUCCAGUGGAGCCGUCCUUGAAAUACCACCCUGGUAAUGUUGAGGUUCUAACUCUGUCCCGUGAUCCGGGACGAGGACCGUGUCUGGUGGGUAGUUUGACUGGGGCGGUCUCCUCCUAAAGAGUAACGGAGGAGUACGAAGGUGCGCUCAGCGUGGUCGGAAAUCACGCGUAGAGUAUAAAGGCAAAAGCGCGCUUAACUGCGAGACCCACAAGUCGAGCAGGUACGAAAGUAGGUCUUAGUGAUCCGGUGGUUCUGUAUGGAAGGGCCAUCGCUCAACGGAUAAAAGGUACUCUGGGGAUAACAGGCUGAUACCGCCCAAGAGUUCAUAUCGACGGCGGUGUUUGGCACCUCGAUGUCGGCUCAUCUCAUCCUGGGGCUGAAGCAGGUCCCAAGGGUAUGGCUGUUCGCCAUUUAAAGAGGUACGCGAGCUGGGUUUAGAACGUCGUGAGACAGUUCGGUCCCUAUCUACCGUGGGCGCUGGAAAUUUGAGAGGAUCUGCUCCUAGUACGAGAGGACCAGAGUGGACGAACCUCUGGUGUACCGGUUGUGACGCCAGUCGCAUCGCCGGGUAGCUAUGUUCGGAAGGGAUAACCGCUGAAAGCAUCUAAGCGGGAAGCCUACCUCAAGAUAAGAUUUCCCUAGGACUUUAUGUCCUCUAAAGAGCCGUUCGAGACUAGGACGUUGAUAGGUUGGAUGUGGAAGCAUAGUGAUAUGU
Molecule: ribosomal RNA, 1119 nt
Filed under: Acinetobacter baumannii
Lineage: Bacteria; Pseudomonadati; Pseudomonadota; Gammaproteobacteria; Moraxellales; Moraxellaceae
Description: partial 23S ribosomal RNA
Rfam family: Bacterial large subunit ribosomal RNA
Source: RNAcentral